CAGUGUCUCUAAACUUUGGGAGAAAGAAAAACUCAAGUGUGCUUGGGUUCUGCAGCAGGACAAUGAUCCAAAACACACCAACAAGUUUACCUCUGAAUGGCCUAAGAAAACUAAGAAGACUUUGGAGUGGCCUAGACAAAGUCCUGACUUGAAUCUGACUGAAAUACUGUGGCAUGAUCAUCAAAUUGGUUUGAUGAUCUGAAAUUUUUAAGUGUGACAAACAUACAAAAAAUAAGGGGAAAUACUUUUUUCACACCAUUAUAUGUAUAUGUUUUUAAAGCUUGUGUAUAAGUCCAUAACAUCUUAGCUUCAUCUAGCCAUGAAUCAAAGUCUGUGUGUCUUCUGUUGAAUUAAAGGUGAAGUUUCAGAACAUCGGAGAGGAAAUGUAGCUGAUCCAGACAGUGUUACAUAUGCUGCUGUCACAGCCAAACCAAAGAGGGAGAGAGUUUGUAAACAGACAAAUGAAUCAGAUCCAGACAAAACAACAUAUGCUACUGUUGCAAAUCAGAGGACAGACAGAGGUCAUUGACAUAAAAAAAGACAUCUCAAUACAGAAAAAUUUAAGACAUGAAUCUGAAGCUUUUUAUAUAUUUUAUUGUGGGUUUUAUUUUUUUUUUGGAUGCAUUACAAUGUCCUGCUUAAACAAUUUCUUUUGGCUAUGUUGCAGUGCUACAGAUUGUUACUGAUUGUAAAUCUAAGUCUUAUUAUUUCUUCAGACAUGUCAGAUAAAUAUAUAUUGAUGUUAAAAUUAAUUUAAAAUGUUAAAUUAAAAAAAGUAGAAAUAAAUCAUUAAAUAUAGGUUUUGAUAAAUGUUCUCAAAUACAGGAAAGUAGAGUUGCAACCUAAAAACUUAAAAAAAAAAACCCCUGUGAUUUAAAAAUUAAAGGCAGUGGAUUAUUAUAGACUAACAGGUUAUACCAAAAUGUGCUAUUGCUGCUGUGAAGAUGCAGUGGGACAGAUACACUAUACUGCUAAACAUAUUCAGAUGAUUGAAUUCAAGUGUUCCAAUCACUUCACUGCCACAGGUGUAUAAAAUCAAGCACCUAGGCAUGCAGACUGCUCCUUUGAGAAAGAAUGGGUGCUUAUACCAAAGCAGAAGAGAUUGGGAACAACCCAGUUGCAGAGUGGGGUCAGCAGACUUUAUGCGGCUUUUAGAUCAGAUAAAGAACAAUGCAUAGAGAGCGUCAUGGAAUUGGAUUUCAUAGCUGAGCAGCUGCAUCCAAGCCAAGUACAAUGCAAACCAUUAGCUGCAGUGGUGUAUAGCAGAGCACCACUGGACUCUAGAGCAGUGGAGACAUGUUAAGGCCAGGAGAACCUUACUCGUCUGAUUGCAUUGUCCCAAGUUUGGUGUAGGAGGGGAAUUUUGGUGUGGGGUUGUAUUUCAGGAGUUGGGCUCAGCUCCUAAGUUACAGUGAAAGGAACUCUUAAUGCUUCCACAAACAAAGAUAUUUUUGACAAUUUCAUGCUGACUGGCCUGUACAGAGUCUUGACCUCAACCCGAAAGGACACUUUGGGGUUUGAAUUAGGGUGCAGACUGCUUGCCAGAUCUUUUUGUCCAUUUGUGUCUGACACCACAAAUGUGUUUCUGUAAGAAGAGUCAAACAAUUUCCAUAAACACGCUCCUAAACCUGUGGAAAGCCUUCCCUGAAGAGCGGAGAUAGCUGCGUAGAAUGGGUCAACAUUAUUAGACACUAUGGAUUAAGAAUAGGAUGUCAAUCAAGUUCAUAUGUGUGUGAAAGCAGAUGAGUGCAUCCUUUUGGCAAUUUAUUACACACAUGACCUGCUAUAUAGGCUAUUAAAUGUUAAUUUUUACAUAAAUUCAGGUUAUAAGCAUGUGUGAUAUGAAAUAUGUGAUAUGAAAAUUACUUAUGAUAGAACAAGUGUGAUCUUCAAAAAUAAACAUGUAGCAUUCAGAUCAUGUUGAUCAAUAAAAAUUUGCAGAGCAGAAUUAUGUGUGCUUAUUCAUUUACACAUGAUUUCAAAUGUGAAAACAAAAAAUAAUAAAUAAAAAAAUACGUAAACUUAUGACUUGUUAUACCACCCUUGCAAUAUUUCCUUCUGAGGCGGAAUCUUGACCCCUUUUUCUUUGCAGAAUUGCCUUUUUCAUUUUUCAUUGUUUUUGCACAUGAACACCCUGUUUAAGAUCUUUCAGCUUUCAGCUUUUCAGCUUUUCUCCAUUUGAGGAUGAUGACUGUAUCACUGUUGCUGCGUCUCAAAGCUUUAGCUGUGGCUUUGUGAUCCUCUCCAGAUUGUUAGAUCUCAAUAACUUAGUUUCUCAUGUAUUUCUUGUAGUGUGGUGUUGCUUUUUGAGAAUUCUCAGCCUGCUUCACUUUGUCAGACAUGUUCUAUUUAACUGAUUUCUUAAUUCCUCAGCAAUCACGCCUAGAUGUGCCUAGUGAAAGUGAAGGUUUUUGUUUUAAGGUUUCUUUUUCUUUUCUUUUUUUGGUGUUUACACAUGCAUACACCAGUUUGGACCAGUAGAUUGUUGGAAUAGAUGAGCAAAAUGCCAAAACUGCUUUUAUUGGGUGGUCACACUUGUUGGUUAUCAGUUAAUCAAGUGCAAGAGCUACAUAACUAUGAUUUGAUUACCACAUAUGCUAAUUUCAAAUGCAAAUGCAUUUAUUUAUGUAUUGAACCAAAGAGAUUACAGUUAAAUACCAGUCAAAUGUUUGGACAUGCUUUCUUAUUCAAUGUUGUGUUGUUGUUUUUUUUCAUGACAUUUCCGUGACUUUUUAUGUUGUAGAUUCUCACUGAAGGUAUCAAAACUAUGAAUGAACACAUACACAAUUAUGAAGUAAACGAA
Molecule: long non-coding RNA, 2803 nt
Organism: Oreochromis niloticus (Nile tilapia)
Lineage: Eukaryota; Metazoa; Chordata; Actinopteri; Cichliformes; Cichlidae
Source: Ensembl